AAUUACGGAUAUUCACGAAUUUAUUCAACCUUUAAGAUCACACCCCAACCCAUAUUCAUCAAUAUAAGACAUGCACCCAAUAUGAUAUACGGCAUCCAGAAAAGAGAGAAAAAAACGCCAAAGAAAGAUCACAACUAACUAUAUUUUUUAACUUACUAACCAAUGCAGAUAGCAUGCAAUUAACCAUGAAACAACAUGCUAAUACUCCCAAACGAGUAUUUCAAAAUGCAACAACAACAACAA
Molecule: long non-coding RNA, 243 nt
Filed under: Nicotiana benthamiana
Lineage: Eukaryota; Viridiplantae; Streptophyta; Magnoliopsida; Solanales; Solanaceae
Description: long non-coding RNA (NBEN_LNC001142)
Source: RNAcentral